UUAGUUUAAAUCAUUGUGUGUUUAUACUUUGAAAAUUGAACCCACACAAAUUAGUGAGACAUACAUUGAUUUCAUCCAA
Molecule: microRNA precursor, 79 nt
Filed under: Medicago truncatula (barrel medic)
Lineage: Eukaryota; Viridiplantae; Streptophyta; Magnoliopsida; Fabales; Fabaceae
Description: MIR5269 microRNA precursor family
Rfam family: MIR5269 microRNA precursor family
Source: Rfam by way of RNAcentral